UUACAGGUGCCGCAAAAGCACUGCUUUUGGGUGAAAAGGGAAUCGGGUGUAACUCCCGAACGUACUCGCCGCUGUGAUGAGCAAGCUGUGUCCAAAAUGUCACUGAGCAAUCGGGAAGACGGGCGCAGCGCCGAGCUUUAAGUCAGAAGACCUGCCGUAAAGUGA
RNAcentral lists this non-coding RNA (165 nucleotides) under pig gut metagenome. The record is from RNAcentral.